AGUGCCCCGGUCCGCGCGCCUCCUGGCCGCCGCCCCGCAGACCUCCCCGCGCGGGGCUCGGGCCCCGGGCGCCGCCCGUUGUUGGCUUAGAGCCCAAGUCGCGUUUCCCGCUGCCCCUUCUCCCGGCUUCUCUCUUCCGUGCUGGCCGCCUGCGGUGUCUCUAUUCUUCCUGGGCCCUGCCUGGCACAAGAGGUAUUGCUUAAGAAGGAGGCUCAUUGAAUGGAUGUUCAGGAGACAUUCCCAGGUUCUGGGAUUAGAACCAGGAUUUCUGAGGAUCAUUCUUCAGUCUACCAUAUCAUGAAUUAAGCAGAGUCAGAUGGAGGUUGGAGCUAAGAGGAACCUCAUUUUCCACUGACCCAGUCUUCUUACUAUAGACACAGUUACAUCCAAUGUUUGCCUGAGAAUAUUCCAGAGGGCAGAUACCUGAAUCAUCAUGCAGCCAAUGCAGGCCAGAAGGACGGAUAAUAGUGAAACGGCACUGGACUGGGCCUCUGGGUCGAGUUCCCUUCUCGGUUAUGCCAACAAGGCUAUUAUACUCUGUACUCUCAAUGAGAGCGGUACUCUCUGGGCCUGAUUUUGCCCCCAGAAAAAUGAGGUGCAAACAGAAAAGAUAUUAAUGUUGGAUGGUUUAGACUUUAUUCCGGAUUUUAAUUACUUCAUUUGCAUUGAACUUUAUAAAUACUUGGAAAGCAGCAUGCCAUCCAUCCUCACUGGGUCCACAAAACUGCCAUGUGAAGAUCGCCAAGAAGCCACCAGACCGCUUUGCCUGGCACUCCUUUUAUCUUUCUGGCCUGAGGGGGCCAUGGGCUAAUGAUCAGUGAAAUCAGGAAAGGCCAAGAGGCCCAGCUAAUCCACAAAUUGGAUCAUCCACCCCUGAAUAAUCAAGAGUUGCUGGCACAAAAGUUGGUUUCUCUCUUUGAUCAUCAGCACACUCAAAACACACCUACAUUUGCUUCUUGUGGGAGCCCUCUGACUUAGCUGUGGCCUGGGCCCUGGAAACAAAUCUGUUCAUCAUAAGGGAGAUUUGAGGAAGGAGCUAAUCAACAUGAUGCUCAUCAUCUAUAAGGAUACUGGAAGAUUCCUCUGAAGAAUUCAAUGUACUCCGUCAGUUGAAGCCUUGGCUGCUUAGAAGGGAGCUGCCCUUGUGUGCCAGUCACAUCCAGUAAAUAAUUAUUUAAAACUCACUAUUGUGCUACCACUAUUCUGGGUUCUGGAGACUCAGUAGAACAUUCACAUGCUCUCUCCAUAGAGCUUAUGGUCAACACAGGGAGGCAGCAUGAGGUGGAGGAUUACAUAGUGGUUGUUCUUAGGGCUACAAAGAGGAAGCCUAGUAACGUAUGGAGUGUGCAGAACAGGAGGUUUUGGGGAGGGUUCCCUAAGGAAGUGUUGUUUUAUGCCAAAUCUCAAUACAAGUGGGGACUAGCCAGGUGAAGGGCUGGGGGUGGGGAUUGUACCAAGAAUAGUAAAUGGUCGGUGUGGGAAGACCCUGAGGAGGGAAGCAAAGGGAGCAAGCAAAAGAAUAGUGUAAAAUUGGCUGGACCCUAUGACCUGACCAUUGUCCUCCUGGGAAAAUACCUCACAGGAAGACGUACAUUUGUGCAUUUGUACACAUGUACUCAAAUGUUCAUAAUAGCAAUGUUGGUAAUAUCUCCAAACUGGAAACUACCCAAGUGCACAUCAACACAAAGAUGGAUAAAUAAAUUGUGGCCCAUUCACAUUGGAUUGUUUUAUUCAGCAAUUAGAAUGAAUGAACUGCCUCUAUGCCCAGCAGUACACUGGAGUCUCGCAAACGUAAGGAUAAGUGAGCGAAAUCAGACACAGACAGGUACACUUACACAAAUGUGCAUAUAGAAGAUGCCAAAGCUGAGCUGUGGUUCUCCUUUGGAGAGUUAAUGACUAGAAGCCUGUAAUGAGGGGCUACUAGGGUGCUAGCCAUAAGCUGUUUCAUGAUUGGGAGGCUGGUUACAUGGGUGUGUUCAGUUUGGGAAAAUUCAUUAAACUACAUGCUUAAAAUGUACACCCUUUAAUUUGUAUCUGUUAUACUUUAAUAAAAAAAUUGGUACAAUAUGAGGCUAGACAGAUACGCAGAGACAUUAUAGGUCUGGGCUAGGUUUUGAGCUCCACCCUGCUUAUGCUCCUUACCUGGAACCUGGAGCCAGCUACUCUGUCCACGUUUCUACCUUUGAUGGCCUAAGUAUAUGUCUCAAGUCCCACCUUGCAAGCUGGCCCCAUCCCCCCUGCCUGGCUCUGCAUUGGCUCCCACCUGCCACAUGCUGCCCAGCUCACACCCCCGACUGCAGACCCCUCCCUCCAUCCCCUUGUCUCAUCUACUCCCUGUUGAUAUGAUAGCAGGUGUCACGCCCCUCCCCUGAGGCUAAAUGGGUGGCAUCACUGGGAAAUGAAGGGGAAAUAGAUAUUUGCUUCUACCUGAGUUAUUUGGUGCAACCCCUAAAAUACCACAGAAGAUCUCUUACUUAUGGUUGUACUCAGAAUGUUUUUAAAGUUUAUUGAUUUGGGCAAAUCUUGACAUCUCUUUGCAUCAGAAGCCUUGCUUAAGGUUUCUUGUUAGGUGACAAAUAAUAGCCCAAUAUUGUCUAAGCUCCUUUUGCUUGGCUACUCUGUCACCUGCCACUGCAUGUGGGAUCUGUGUACACACUGCAGCCACUUCCCACUGGGUCCUCUCUCUCCUGACGCAAAGGGUGUUACAGUCGUAGGAGCAUGGAGAGGAGUCUGGACUGAGAGGCGAGCCGACCUGAAGCACAGUGUCAGACUUUUCAAGAUGGAAACAAGCAAGCAAAAACCAAAACCAAACCAAACAAAAAUCCAAAUAAAUAAAUUGCCAAAUGAAGAGAUAUAAGUUGAUUUAGGUGACUGUGGCAGUUUAAGACCUCAAGACUUCAAUUCCUCUAAAUGUUAAUUUUCUGGGUCCUGCCAGUUUAGGACUUCUUACAUUUCAAUCACCUGCUUCCUACCUUCUUGAUUUUUGUCCUAUUUUCUCGUCACCUGAACUGCUUGAAGUAUUUUGUAUCUGAAUUGAAUCAUCCCCCUUCUUUAAAAAAAAGAACUUAAAUUUAUUCAUCAGGAAGCUUCACAUCAUUGCUCUAAAUGAAACAUUGGAAUCACACCUUAAAAAGUCACUAAAAAUGGGUGAAUGUAAACAAAACAAUUUACUAAAUUCUGGCUAACUCCUAGCCAGUGUGGAAGGCAAAAGGGAAAUCAACAAAUGCUAGACACCCCCUUAAUGUUAUCAGAAGGGUAGGUGAGUACUCAAAAGGGACUCCCUUUCUCACCAUGCAAGCCAAAGUGGGUUUAUACCUUGCCUACCACUAUCUAUAAUCUACAAUCAUUCUGCAAACCCUGGAGGAGAUACUGUCCCCCGCCUUGGGAAACGGUGGCCCAGUGAUCCCUAAGGACGCGGCUAAAAGAAUGAGGGAAACAGAGAAAUGGUGAAGGGGGUAUACAGAAAUCACUCCUUUCAGCAAAUGGAAAAAACAUGACACCAAUACUCGGCUUUGCAAGUAUCAACUGGUCCCCUGUCCCUGUGCUUCUCAUUGUUUGAAUGGGAACAGCAACACAAAGCUAUCCACACAGCAAGGAUGAAAAGAGAAAGGGGUUGAUGGCUUGAGCACCUCAUCAUGCUGCUUGAGGGCCUGCUUGUCCCGAGCCUGGUCCUAGCUCUUCCCUCGCCACCCCCCGAGUCCAGCCCCAUCAAGACUCAGAAAGAGCCUAGAAGUCCUUCCUCUGAGUGUGGGGCCUGCUUCCUGCAGCCUUGUCCUGUCCUUAAAUCAAAACCAGACUUCCUCGGAUCUUUGUAUUUUGCAUGUUGGCUAGAUGGUAGGAUCUUUUUGGGGGUACUGUUCCCAAUCUGUAUGGGAGUGAGUUGUGAAUGAUGAAUACCGUAGAUCAUCUUGUUUGGGAAUGGCACCUUAAUAUGCUGAAAGUAAUAUGAAGCCAUAUAUCUUUCCAGAUGAAUAUAUCUAAGUCCUGAAACAGCUUAAUAGGGAGUCCCCUACCCCCUUCAGUUAUUGUUGAGGCUUAUCAAAUGGAGCUCACCAAAAGGCAUUAUGGCUUCUUGACCAAAACGAAAAUUUCCUGUCUCUGAUUUCCUGUAAUUUCAAAGUUAUUUCCCUUCUGUCCUGUAACCUGCCAAUCCAAAUACCCAAAGCAAAGGAGGCCCUAUAUGAGGCCCUAUACCUUCCUUGGCUUCUUUUAUAGCCUUAUAAUAAAUAAUUAAUAUCUUACUUUUUUAUGGUAUUGUUUUACUUUCAGAAAGGAUCACAGGACACUGUGCUUUCCAUGGGCCUCUAUGGAUGCUCCUGUAGUUCUCAAAGAAGCUAACAUUAUCAGUCAUUUUAAAUUUUAAUUAAGAUAUUCAGAAAGAAUAAAAAGCCUGUAAAAUACUCUGGGUAGUUUAUGACUAAUAUUUCUUUAAGCAGGUACUUAUUUUUCCUUCUGUAUGAACUGGGCGUCUAUGAGCUUGCUUCUGAAGCGUAUGAUAAUACUCGUGUUGCCUACUCAGCUUUAGGUGACUUCCAGUUUCUUAAGUCAUCAUAGAAGACCAUGUCUACUUUAUUCUUAAAAAUUUUACUCUUGCUUCUCAAACUUCUAGAAAAAAAGAGAUGAUGUCUGUUCCUUUUCUCUUUGUUUCAACCAUUGCCUAAGUCAGCAUUUUCAAGAUGUCUUAUGCAGAAGACUAGUCUUAGGACAUUCCAAUGUCAAAAUACUUUGGGAGAUGACACAUACCCUAUCUUACUCUUGGAGAGUCCCCAUACAUAUUAGGCUUUUCAAGGCUCUGAGAAUCCUGGGGAGUUGAGAAAAUUGUUUAACUUUGUGUAACUAUAUUUUGCCAAACUCACAUUAUCGCUUGAGUGUGGGUUGAGCAAGGUGUUCUCUAGCUAUCUCUAGAACUGAAUUUAGAUAAAAGGUGUGUGUCUAAAGGGAAGGUAGUAGUUUUAAAAUAUGGCCUUGAAUUCUUUGACAAUCCGUCCUUCAAGAGUUUGAGGUGGGGGGGUCUGUGGCCACUCCCUUUGACUCUGGGUGGGGCUGUGAAGGGUUCCAAUGAUGGAUUAACACAGAAGUGUGCUUUGUGUCUAGUUAUACAUGUUUCUGUAACUUCUACUGUGUCACAUUUGGAGUGCUAAGCCACUAUUAAGGUGUCUAACUAUCCUGACACUACUAUGAUGAGGAGGCUGUGUGUAGGUGUACUGAUCAACAGCUAAGCCCAGCUGUCCAGCCAUCCCUACAAGGUACCAGCACAUAAGUCAAGUCAUCUUGGAUCCGCCAAGCCCAGCCUCUGUAUCAGCUGAAUACCACCAAGGGACCUCUUUUGUAUAAAAGGAUCACCCAGGUGAGCUCAGCUUGAAUUCUUAGGCCACAAAAUCAUGAGAUUUAAACCUCUGGGGUUUAGGUGAGCUUGUUACAUAGCAAGAGAUAAUCAGGACAGGGAUAGUUGAGCUUUUUAGGUUUGGAAGAGAAAUCUGAGUGUCUUCUCUGAUUCAUUCUAAAGCUAGAAAGGCCAGAGAUCCACCAGUUUCUCCAUUUAGGUUCUUCCCCCUGUACAUGUGACCCCAAGAAUAUGUUCAUUGAGAGAGAACUCCUCCUUUGGCCAGCUCUAGGACCUUCCUAAUAAUUGCGCUCUCAGGCUGCACUACCAGUAAACCAGACACAAAUCAUUGGACACUAGACUUUGACGUUUAAAAGAUGGGAAACAGAGGGGAAAACAUGCCAUUCCCUUACACUCCUCACAGGCUCAUACUAAAAUGGCUGAUGCUUAUGUGCAAACACUCUCAUCCAAUUAGUCAUUAGAGCCUGACAGUGCCACCUCCUAAAUAUAUUAUUAAGCCAAUAAACCCUCUCAAUCACUGCUUUAGCUCAGGCACUCAUCAUCUCUCUCUUACAUAACAUUUGCCUUCUGACUCAUCAUCCUUAUUCCAAUUUCUCCCCAACCAUAGCCUGAGGGGUUUUUCUAAGGCAUAAAUCCGACAUAUCAGUCUCCAGAAUAAGACCCUUCCUGUUGCACACAGGAGAGAGUCCAAAUUCAACAGUAUUGCUAUAUUAGUUAUAGUCCACUGAGGAAAAAAGAAACUAUUCUAGGCUUCUAAAUAGUUGGGACUUCGAGAAGGAAUUGGUUCUACAGCUAGUGGAAGAGCACAGAAAGAAAAGAGGAGAUGGGAGCUAGAAGCAGAAACUGAGGCCACUGUAAGGGGCAGGAGGGGGAGUUCAGCCAUGGGGACCACAGAGCUGAUGCUGGAGAGGCCACUCAGUGCACAGCGAGAGAGAAACAGCCUGGCCUCUGUCCUGCUUCCACUACCCACCCCCUACUGUUUUCUACUUGUGCUUCCCACUGUUGAAACUUCCAGAAAGCCAGUCAGUGAAGGAUCCCACUCUGGUUCCCAGCAGAGCCGAGGAGGGGUGGAGGUGACUAGCUCAGUGACACGUGAGACCUUUGUGGUCCAAACCUAUGCACAUCUCCAUUCUCCUGCUUCAGCAUUUCCUCAACUUCUCCUUCCCCCUCCCCCUGCCCUGCCCCCCUGCUAUACUGAACCACCAUUUCUCUCUUUCCAGGCAGGGGAAUUGGCUCUUGCUGUUCUUUCCACUUCUAAUAUCCUCCACUCAAGCUUUCAAGCCCACUCACUAUCUUCCAUGUUCAAGUCAAUCACUUCUUUAUGAGUUCUACCCCUGCCUUCUGCUUCAUUAAUACAGUAUUCAUCUAUCAUGUUAUUAGUGAGGCAGAAGAUUUCUUAUUUGUGUUUGCCCCUUUCUCUCUCUUAUAAUACAAAAGCCCCUGAUUUUCUCUUAGGAGCCACCUCUCCUAGUCUACAUGAUGCUAGAGAGGCUUUCAGUUACAUGGAUUUGUGACCUUGUUUUUGAGAUUGAUGUAAGACGCAGGUUGAACAACAGGAGUAGCUCAUCUCAGUGACCGGGCGAUGGUGGAGACAUGAGUAAAUGGCCCAUCAGACUUCUUAGAGACUGAUGUGGAUGGUAGAAGGCAGAGUCACAAUCUUUAAUGAUACACACAAUGCAAGAAGAGCUUCAGAUGCUCCUCUUUGCUACCUCUUGGAAAAAAACUUGCCUGAGGAUCAAACCAAAAAAGAACAAAGCCGGACCACGUGAGAAAGAGAGAGACUCCAGUUGCUGUUUGGGCACCUGGAUUUAGGUGUGCCUGAACAAGUUAACCCGUGCACUUCUCAAGUGCCUGAGUCAGCAGACAUCCCUCACAAUUCUUUACAAAAUUAAAGCAUCCCUCAUGUGCACUUAAAAAGAAGGUUUAUUCUCUGUUAUUGGAAUUCAGAAUUUUACAUAUAUCCCUAAGAGCACAUUACUGUGUUACUUAGAGCUUUGAUCCUUCCCAGAUAUUUGUCUAUUUGUGAUGGGCUAUGAAAAAUGUAUUACUGUUGUUUAUUAACUGUGCAUUUCUGUCUGUCUCUCCUUGCUUCACCUGCAGUUUCUGUUUUCUGCAAGUUGUUGCUGUUUUAUUGGAUACAUAGAUAUUACUAUGUGUUUAUUGUGAAU
Long non-coding RNA from Canis lupus familiaris (dog), 7512 nucleotides. RefSeq lists it as uncharacterized. NCBI's taxonomy places the organism in Eukaryota, Metazoa, Chordata, Mammalia, Carnivora, Canidae. The record is from RefSeq and is a predicted model, not a curated record. The transcript has 7 exons.